RNAcentral lists this ribosomal RNA (657 nucleotides) under uncultured fungus. RNAcentral describes it as "eukaryotic LSU rRNA". It matches the Rfam family "Eukaryotic large subunit ribosomal RNA", at positions 24 to 664 of the family's 3401-position model. Lineage: Eukaryota; Fungi. The record is from RNAcentral.
CCCGCUGAACUUAAGCAUAUCAAUAAGCGGAGGAAAAGAAACUAACAAGGAUUCCCCUAGUAACGGCGAGUGAAGCGGGAAGAGCUCAAAUUUGAAAUCUGGCGGUCUACGGCCGUCCGAGUUGUAGUCUAGAGAGGUGUUUUCCGCGUCGGACCGUGUACAAGUCCCUUGGGAUAGGGCGUCAUAGAGGGUGAGAAUCCCGUCCAUGACACGGACUGCCGAUGCUUUGUGAUGCGCCUUCAAAGAGUCGAGUUGUUUGGGAAUGCAGCUCAAAAUGGGUGGUAAAUUCCAUCUAAAGCUAAAUACAGGCGAGAGACCGAUAGCGAACAAGUACCGUGAGGGAAAGAUGAAAAGCACUUUGGAAAGAGAGUUAAACAGUACGUGAAAUUGUUGAAAGGGAAACGCUUGGAGUCAGUCGCGUCGGCCGAGACUCAGCCUUGCUUAUGCUUGGUGCACUUCUCGGUUGAUGGGCCAGCAUCAAUUUCGACUGCCGGAGAAGGAUCGAGGGAAGGUGGCACCUUUCGGUGUGUUAUAGCCCUCGGUUGUACACGGUGGUUGGGAUUGAGGAUCGCAGCACGCCUUUUGGUCGGGGUUCGCCCACGCCACGUGCUUAGGAUGCUGGCGUAAUGGCUUUAAACGACCCGUCUUGAAACACGG